AGUCACGAAAUCUCCACAAGCCCUCCCUGCUACUUUCGGGGCAUGGCAGGGGUCAAAGGCCUGGGGUCUGGGGUCUGCUUUGCGUUUGUUCAUCAGAAACACAAACACACAGUGACCAUCUGUCCUCCAGCAAAAUCUCACCCUGAGUCAUAGACUGUGGCCAUCUGGAGAUCAGCUGCCAUGGUUACCUCCAGCAGAGGAACCAGCAUUCCAGCUGACAGUCCCUCUGCCCUCCUUCCGGGCUGAUACCCUGGAAGCCAAGUCCUGCAUGAGAUGAACCAGGGUGGCUCUGGGCCUGAGGCUGGCACCCAGAGCUCAGUGAACAUGACCCGAUGGUGAACAUCAUCUCGGUUUCCCCACCCAGGUUGGAGGCAUCUCUGACACCAAUCAGAUCUUCGGCCUGAGCGAGACCGAACCUGGCUCCUUCCUGUAUUAUGCUCCCUUCGAUGGCAUCCUGGGGCUGGCCUACCCCAGCAUUUCCUCCUCCGGGGCCACACCCGUCUUUGACAACAUCUGGAACCAGGGCCUGGUUUCUCAGGACCUCUUCUCUGUCUACCUCAGCGCCGAUGACCAGAGUGGCAGCGUGGUGAUCUUUGGUGGCAUUGACUCUUCUUACUACACUGGAAGUCUGAACUGGGUGCCUGUUACCGUUGAGGGUUACUGGCAGAUCACCGUGGACAGCAUCACCAUGAACGGAGAGGCCAUCGCCUGCGCUGAGGGCUGCCAGGCCAUUGUUGACACCGGCACCUCUCUGCUGACCGGCCCAACCAGCCCCAUUGCCAACAUCCAGAGUGACAUCGGAGCCAGCGAGAACUCAGACGGCGACAUGGUGGUCAGCUGCUCAGCCAUCAGCAGCCUGCCCGACAUCGUCUUCACCAUCAAUGGAGUCCAGUACCCCGUGCCACCCAGUGCCUACAUCCUGCAG
RNAcentral lists this small RNA (925 nucleotides) under Pan troglodytes (chimpanzee). RNAcentral's name for it is "retained intron". The record is from RNAcentral. Lineage: Eukaryota; Metazoa; Chordata; Mammalia; Primates; Hominidae.